CCUACGGGAGGCAGCAGUCGAGAAUCAUUCACAAUGGGGGAAACCCUGAUGGUGCGACGCCGCGUGGGGGAAUGAAGGUCUUCGGAUUGUAAACCCCUGUCAUGUGGGAGCAAAUUAAAAAGAUAGUACCACAAGAGGAAGAGACGGCUAACUCUGUGCAAGCAGCCGCGGUAAUACAGAGGUCUCAAGCGUUGUUCGGAAUCACGGGGCGUAAAGCGUGCGUAGGCUGUUUCGUAAGUCGUGUGUGAAAGGCGCGGGCCCAACCCGCGGACGGCACAUGAUACUGCGGGACUAGAGUAAUGGAGUGGGAACCGGAAUUCUCGGUGUAGCAGUGAAAUGCGUAGAUAUCGAGAGGAACACUCGUGGCGAAGGCGGGUUCCUGGACAUUAACUGACGCUGAGGCACGAAGGCCAGGGGAGCGAAAGGGAUUAGAUACCCUUGUAGUC
This 446-nucleotide ribosomal RNA is filed under the name uncultured bacterium. Its description in RNAcentral is "partial 16S ribosomal RNA". It matches the Rfam family "Bacterial small subunit ribosomal RNA", at positions 338 to 795 of the family's 1533-position model. The record is from RNAcentral.